CGUGGGGAACCUACCGUAUGCAGGGGGACAACAGUCAGAAAUGACUGCUAAUACCGCAUAAGCACACAAUGCUGCAUGGCAUGGUGUGAAAAGAUUUAUCGGCAUACGAUGGCCCCGCGUCUGAUUAGCCAGUUGGCAGGGUAAUGGCCUACCAAAGCGACGAUCAGUAGCCGGCUUGAGAGAGUGAACGGCCACAUUGGGACUGAGACACGGCCCAAACUCCUACGGGAGGCAGCAG
Molecule: ribosomal RNA, 238 nt
Filed under: uncultured bacterium
Lineage: Bacteria
Description: partial 16S ribosomal RNA
Rfam family: Bacterial small subunit ribosomal RNA
Source: RNAcentral